This 208-nucleotide ribosomal RNA is filed under the name uncultured bacterium. RNAcentral's name for it is "partial 16S ribosomal RNA". It matches the Rfam family "Bacterial small subunit ribosomal RNA", at positions 568 to 774 of the family's 1533-position model. The record is from RNAcentral.
CUCGUAGGCGGCCAACUAAGUCGGACGUGAAAUCCCUCGGCUCAACCGAGGAACUGCGUCCGAUACUGGAUGGCUUGAGUUCGGGAGAGGGAUGCGGAAUUCCAGGUGUAGCGGUGAAAUGCGUAGAUAUCUAGAGGAACACCGGUGGCGAAGGCGGCAUCCUGGACCGACACUGACGCUGAGUGAGCGAAAGCCAGGGGAGCAAACG